GGGGGGGGCAAGCGUUGUUCGGAAUUACUGGGCGUAAAGGGCUCGUAGGCGGCCAACUAAGUCAGACGUGAAAUCCCUCGGCUUAACCGGGGAACUGCGUCUGAUACUGGAUGGCUUGAGGUUGGGAGAGGGAUGCGGAAUUCCAGGUGUAGCGGUGAAAUGCGUAGAUAUCUGGAGGAACACCGGUGGCGAAGGCGGCAUCCUGGACCAAUUCUGACGCUGAGUGAGCGAAAGCCAGGGGAGCAAACGGGAUUAGAUACCCCGGUAGUCCUGGCCCUAAACGAUGAAUGCUUGGUGUGGCGGGUAUCGAUCCCUGCCGUGCCGAAGCUAACGCAUUAAGCAUUCCGCCUGGGGAGUACGGUCGCAAGGCUG
This 372-nucleotide ribosomal RNA is filed under the name uncultured bacterium. RNAcentral's name for it is "bacterial SSU rRNA". It matches the Rfam family "Bacterial small subunit ribosomal RNA", at positions 527 to 896 of the family's 1533-position model. The record is from RNAcentral.